GCUACCAUGCAGUCGAGCGGUAGCACAGGGGAGCUUGCUCCCUGGGUGACGAGCGGCGGACGGGUGAGUAAUGUCUGGGAAACUGCCUGAUGGAGGGGGAUAACUACUGGAAACGGUAGCUAAUACCGCAUAACGUCGCAAGACCAAAGAGGGGGACCUUCGGGCCUCUUGCCAUCAGAUGUGCCCAGAUGGGAUUAGCUAGUAGGUGGGGUAAUGGCUCACCUAGGCGACGAUCCCUAGCUGGUCUGAGAGGAUGACCAGCCACACUGGAACUGAGACACGGUCCAGACUCCUACGGGAGGCAGCAGUGGGGAAUAUUGCACAAUGGGCGCAAGCCUGAUGCAGCCAUGCCGCGUGUGUGAAGAAGGCCUUCGGGUUGUAAAGCACUUUCAGCGAGGAGGAAGGUGGUGAGCUUAAUACGCUCAUCAAUUGACGUUACUCGCAGAAGAAGCACCGGCUAACUCCGUGCCAGCAGCCGCGGUAAUACGGAGGGUGCAAGCGUUAAUCGGAAUUACUGGGCGUAAAGCGCACGCAGGCGGUUUGUUAAGUCAGAUGUGAAAUCCCCGGGCUCAACCUGGGAACUGCAUUUGAAACUGGCAAGCUAGAGUCUCGUAAAGGGGGGUAGAAUUCCAGGUGUAGCGGUGAAAUGCGUAGAGAUCUGGAGGAAUACCGGUGGCGAAGGCGGCCCCCUGGACGAAGACUGACGCUCAGGUGCGAAAGCGUGGGGAGCAAACAGGAU
Molecule: ribosomal RNA, 739 nt
Filed under: uncultured bacterium
Lineage: Bacteria
Description: bacterial SSU rRNA
Rfam family: Bacterial small subunit ribosomal RNA
Source: RNAcentral